CACGUAGGCGGAUAUUUAAGUCAGGGGUGAAAUCCCGGGGCUCAACCCCGGAACUGCCUUUGAUACUGGGUAUCUCGAGUCCGAGAGAGGUGAGUGGAAUUCCGAGUGUAGAGGUGAAAUUCGUAGAUAUUCGGAGGAACACCAGUGGCGAAGGCGGCUCACUGGCUCGGUACUGACGCUGAGGUGCGAAAGCGUGGGGAGCAAACA
This 207-nucleotide ribosomal RNA is filed under the name uncultured bacterium. Its description in RNAcentral is "partial 16S ribosomal RNA". It matches the Rfam family "Bacterial small subunit ribosomal RNA", at positions 568 to 774 of the family's 1533-position model. The record is from RNAcentral.